CUGGCCUGGCCACUUUCGUCCCCCCGGAGGGAGGGGCUGCACAGCUCCCUGCACGUCCGAUGCCUUGGGCUCCCUUCCCAGAGGGAUGUCCCCGCUCCUGGCAGCCCGGCCAGACGGAGGGGACAACCCAUGCUCCCCUACCCGAGGCCCACUAGAAAGCACGGACAUCACAGAGAAAAGGAGAAUCGCUCCUUUUCUGAAUGCUGAAUCCCUCCAGCAGCUUGACAGCCAGGACCUUUACUAUGACUUUGAGACUAAGGUGAUGGUAACCACUGAUUAAGGAGGCAUUGGGGAGGCAUUGGGGAGGCAAGGACAAUCCCCAGACAUGGACUGUAUAUCUCGAAACAAGACACUGGAACUCAUGAUAAGGAAGUGGCAGACGGACAGAGAAACAAA
Molecule: non-coding RNA, 396 nt
Organism: Anas platyrhynchos (mallard)
Lineage: Eukaryota; Metazoa; Chordata; Aves; Anseriformes; Anatidae
Source: RefSeq, a predicted model, not a curated record